GGGAAGAAUGCGUUGGUGACAGUUCGUAGAAGUUCGCUGAAUUCCGCUGAUGGGGGACUUUUAAUCCGUUGGUCACUGGUUCGAAUCCAGUACGUCCUACCA
This 102-nucleotide transfer RNA is filed under the name Variovorax sp. Sphag1AA. RNAcentral describes it as "tRNA-OTHER". The record is from RNAcentral. Lineage: Bacteria; Pseudomonadati; Pseudomonadota; Betaproteobacteria; Burkholderiales; Comamonadaceae.